Molecule: ribosomal RNA, 468 nt
Filed under: uncultured bacterium
Lineage: Bacteria
Description: partial 16S ribosomal RNA
Rfam family: Bacterial small subunit ribosomal RNA
Source: RNAcentral
GACGAACGCUGGCGGCGUGCUUAACACAUGCAAGUCGAACGGAAAGGCCCUGCUUUUGUGGGGUGCUCGAGUGGCGAACGGGUGAGUAACACGUGAGUAACCUGCCCUUGACUUUGGGAUAACUUCAGGAAACUGGGGCUAAUACCGGAUAGGAGCUCCUGCUGCAUGGUGGGGGUUGGAAAGUUUCGGCGGUCGGGGAUGGACUGGCGGCUUAUCAGCUUGUUGGUGGGGUAGUGGCUUACCAAGGCUUUGACGGGUAGCCGGCCUGAGAGGGUGACCGGCGACAAGGGGACUAAGAGACGGCCCAGACUGCUACGGUAGGCAGCAGUGGGGAGUAUUGCACAGUGGGCGGAAGCCUGAGGCAGCGACGCCGCGUGCGGGAUGACGGCCUUCGGGUUGUAAACCGCUUUCGCCUGUGACGAAGCGUGAGUGACGGUAAUGGGUAAAGAAGCACCGGCUAACUACGUG